RNAcentral lists this long non-coding RNA (234 nucleotides) under Cicer arietinum (chickpea). Its description in RNAcentral is "long non-coding RNA (CARI_LNC000834)". Lineage: Eukaryota; Viridiplantae; Streptophyta; Magnoliopsida; Fabales; Fabaceae. The record is from RNAcentral.
CGUUGGGGAGGAAGUUGACUAUUAUAGAACUGAAGCCAAAGGUCAUGAUCAAAUGAUGAGAUAAAGAGAUGAAUAAUCGAACUAUUCAGAAAAAGUUUCUGCCACAAAGUAUUACAAAGAACCCUAUCAAGUCUCUCUUGUAGUUGGAUGUGCAUCCAUGUAAAAUGAUAAUCAAAGAAACCAAUAUUAAUUGGAUUGUAGUCCUAAAAGUAAUUAGUAAAAGCUGUUGCAGAG